This 231-nucleotide unclassified non-coding RNA is filed under the name Hevea brasiliensis (rubber tree). The record is from RNAcentral. Lineage: Eukaryota; Viridiplantae; Streptophyta; Magnoliopsida; Malpighiales; Euphorbiaceae.
GAAGAUGUCUAUUCCAACGAAAUGACACUUAGCAUGACCAUGCUUUCCAGUCUUGGAGGUGGAAACAUCAACAACCUAUCACAAAACAAUAACACAACAAUGUCGCUACAUGUCUCCUCAUACAUAUAGGCAGUCAACUCUAUCUAUAUACAGAACUUCUCUAACCUAUCACAAACCACAAGUCAAGAACAGAAUAUUAAAAAUUGAGCUUAAAUUACACAGAAAGUACAG